Octopus sinensis (East Asian common octopus) is the source of this 970-nucleotide long non-coding RNA. RefSeq lists it as uncharacterized. The record is from RefSeq and is a predicted model, not a curated record. Lineage: Eukaryota; Metazoa; Mollusca; Cephalopoda; Octopoda; Octopodidae. The transcript is spliced from 2 exons.
AGGCCCUAGUGAAAUAAACGAGGAAUGUACAAAUAAUUUAGUAAAUAAGAAAUUAGAAAAAAAGUCAAAAUGAUUCAUGAUAAUAGGGUUAGUACAUCACUGAGAGGCUUUUCUGGUUAGUAUUGCAUCGUCUGUUUUGGAGAUCAUUUUAAAGUCAAGUUUCCUAUAAAUAUACCAAUUGAUAAGAAACAAAUUGUCACAUUGGACAUGUGAGUAUUAAGCACAAUUUUUGUCUUUUAGGAAAUGCCUAACUCCAGUCCUCUCGAUAAGUCCUACAAUGUAAAUUAUCUCCUUACACUUAGACAUUGAAGUUUUAUACUCUCUCUCUAUGAAUUUCAUCUUGGACCUGCUAUAUAUAUAGUUGGCAAAUCUGCCUCAAAUUUCUGAAAAGAUUGAACACAGAUGGGACAGUUUUGAUCAUAAGUCUGCUCAAUCAAUGCUGACAUAGAUCUGAACAAUGGAUCUUGUUCAUAUGAACAAGCAAACUGUACCAUCUGAUUCAUCAGCCACUCUUACCUUUGAUUUAAUUACUAAAGUCUGCAUUAAACAUAUCAUCCAAAUCUUUAACUCCAGAAAUGCGAAUGCUUUGAUCUCCCUCCUUGUCCACAGCCUUUCUACAAGGUACAACCUAGAAAACAUCAACUACACUGGUCUCACCAGCCUGGCAUGGCUUGCAAUAAUUAUAGACAACUGCUGUCUACAACACCGGUAACUAUAUUUGUAAGAGUUUUCUUAGAACUAUUUUAUCAAUACUCAGUCCAAAUUUAUAGAGCCGAGUUGAAUACUAUACAAUUUACAUCAAGGCAAUUCGUGGCUCUCGAGGUUGUGUUGAACCUUUCUUAAAAAAGACGUCUCCGUUUAGAACAAAAGAUAUUUUGAAAACAGGAGGAAAAAAAAAUUAAACAUCGCCAAAUUGAGCACUAUCAGAAACAAGUAUUAAACAAGCAAUACGGAACUGACAUUAAAUUUA